Molecule: ribosomal RNA, 519 nt
Filed under: uncultured eukaryote
Lineage: Eukaryota
Description: partial 18S ribosomal RNA
Source: RNAcentral
CUGCGAAAGGAUCCAGGGGGAAUGCGCCCUCCGGCUUUCUUUCUCCCUACGGUGAAACUCACCCGGUUCGAGGUGGUCGGAUUGACCGUUGAGAGCUCUUUAUGCUUCCGUGGGUGGUGGUGUUGGCCGUUGCAGUUGGGCCGAUCGAUUUGUGGGGUUAAAUCCAAUAAGCCCGCAGACUCUAGCCUUCCCAACAGAUGCGUGGCUUAUACGCACGGAUGUGAAUUGUUUGCGGGACAAGAAGAGAGUCAGCUAUCGACAAUCAGUCGAAAUACGGAGUGAUAUGCCUUACAGGUCGGGGGACGCGCGGGCGAUCCCCUGUCCAGAGCACGUGCGUUGUCAGAUAACUCUCCAUGAACUUACCCGAUGGUGCAUUCUCGGAUGUAAGCUGGCACAUGAUGACCAUCUUCUGGCAGUGGGCCGGUCUCCAAUAUCGGGUAAGAAGUGCUGAUGUUACCUCCCCGCAAAUGAUUCCAAAACCCCACUCACCUGCUGUUUAGGGAUUAUAAAAGUGAGGCA